RNAcentral lists this ribosomal RNA (757 nucleotides) under uncultured Thermococcus sp. RNAcentral describes it as "bacterial SSU rRNA". It matches the Rfam family "Archaeal small subunit ribosomal RNA", at positions 102 to 856 of the family's 1478-position model. The record is from RNAcentral. Lineage: Archaea; Methanobacteriati; Methanobacteriota; Thermococci; Thermococcales; Thermococcaceae. RNAcentral also lists the same sequence under 1 other name.
CGGUAACCUACCCUCGGGAGGGGGAUAACCCCGGGAAACUGGGGCUAAUUCCCCAUAGGCCUGAGGUACUGGAAGGUCCUCAGGCCGAAAGGGACUUAUGUCCGCCCGAGGAUGGGCCGGCGGCCGAUUAGGUAGUUGGUGGGGUAAUGGCCCACCAAGCCGAAGAUCGGUACGGGCUGUGAGAGCAGGAGCCCGGAGAUGGACACUGAGACACGGGUCCAGGCCCUACGGGGCGCAGCAGGCGCGAAACCUCCGCAAUGCGGGAAACCGCGACGGGGGGACCCCGAGUGCCGUGGCAACGCCACGGCUUUUCCGGAGUGUAAAAAGCUCCGGGAAUAAGGGCUGGGCAAGGCCGGUGGCAGCCGCCGCGGUAAUACCGGCGGCCCGAGUGGUGGCCGCUAUUAUUGGGCCUAAAGCGUCCGUAGCCGGGCCCGUAAGUCCCUGGCGAAAUCCCACGGCUCAACCGUGGGGCUUGCUGGGGAUACUGCGGGUCUUGGGACCGGGAGAGGCGGGGGGUACCCCUGGGGUAGGGGUGAAAUCCUAUAAUCCCAGGGGGACCGCCAGUGGCGAAGGCGCCCCGCUGGAACGGGUCCGACGGUGAGGGACGAAGGCCAGGGGAGCAAACCGGAUUAGAUACCCGGGUAGUCCUGGCUGUAAAGGAUGCGGGCUAGGUGUCGGGUGAGCCUCGAGCUCGCCCGGUGCCGUAGGGAAGCCGUUAAGCCCGCCGCCUGGGGAGUACGGCCGCAAGGCUGAAACU